Molecule: long non-coding RNA, 599 nt
Filed under: Brassica napus (rape)
Lineage: Eukaryota; Viridiplantae; Streptophyta; Magnoliopsida; Brassicales; Brassicaceae
Description: long non-coding RNA (BNAP_LNC016448)
Source: RNAcentral
AGAACAAAACGAUUUUGAUGAAGAAAACAUGAUAAGAUUGUAUUAAAACAGAGUAAAGGUUCAGAAGAUCUUCUCCAAAUGGUUUUGAGAUGAACUCCUUUACAAAUCUUCACAAAUCACACCAAAACAAGUACAAAACACUCAAAUCUUCUCUCUAGAACUUGUAAAUCUCCUCCUUGGUCGCCCCUGGUCUUUUCUGAGUCUCAAAGGUCGAGUUCUUCUCUGAAUUAUUGAGGGGAGUGGGUAAAAAGGAGUGAAAAGCUCGUUUGUGCGUGUGGAGCCCGUAGAGCCUGAGAUCGGUCGAUCCACAUAGACCGGAUCGGUCGAUCUAGUGCAUGAAAGCAUAGGAUCGGUCGAUCCACAUUGACCGGAUCGGUCGAUCCCACGUCCUGUGCGAUCAAUACUUCAUUCGGUCCAUUGUUCGGUCUAUCUUGCUUCUGAAUAAAUCCCGAAUGCGUUCUUUUCUUUCAAGCUAUCUAGUAACCUGCAUAUUACACUUAAGAACACCAAAACGCAUCAAAUAGACCAAAACAUUAAUUAAAACCGACCAUUUAAUUGCUCCAAAACGAGUUUAAAACCGUUAAAAACACGGAAUAUCA